AACAAUUCAAAGACUCUCUUUGAAAGAAAACAAACUUUUAUUAAAUCAAUGAUAAUGGGUGCCAUACAAUGAAUUCAAGACUGAGCUUUUAUAGGCUCAUAAACAACAGUCUAAAGAAGCUAAUUGAGGGAAAUAAUCGAAAAAUAUAAAGAAUAUGGCCGUUGGAGCUUUGAUGACGAAAUCGGCCAAAUAAGGAAAUGUCUUGAGCUUUGUAUCUAGAGAGCUUGGGAAGAAAGGUGAGACUUCUUGGAACAUUCUGGGACGUGUGGAGAGUCUUCAAAACGCAGCAUCUUUGGUAGAUAAAGAGCCGUUGGUGGUUUAAAGCUCCUAGUGUGAAUGCGUCCAGAAAAGGAAAGUAGAAUUGUGAAAGGAUCCGCCUGAUCCUAUGGGUUCUGGUGCAUGGGAAGAAUUCUUCUAGAUGUCUAAGAGUCUCUCCUGGUCGCCAAUGAUAGUUUUGGAGUGAACCAAAUAUGGAAUGAUCCAUUUUUGGCAACAUAUGGCCCGCGGGUAAGGCCAAAUGAGUAACUCAUAAAACAACUCGAACCCGGGGUGAUUUAGCUCGCCCAUUCUUCAUAAAAUGUGCAUAAUAAUGGUGAAUGUCAAAUCUAGGUCGAGGAAAUGUGACGUUGGGUCGAUGAUAUUGUAGUUGGCUUGAUCCGGGUGGGUCUUCUUGGCGCUCGAGUUGAUUGGUUCGAUAGUUUUUGAUUCCGUCUCGCCCAAAUGUCUUGAAAUAUGUAACUUGAUGGUGAAUAUUCAAUAUGGGUCGGGAAAAGUCUUGAUCCGGUCGGUGGAUUUGAGUUUUGUGUGCUCCGGGUGAGUCAUUGUGGACCAACUUCAUUUCGGCAUGGUGAUUUAUGAUUCCAGCUGAAUCACUACUCUUCUUAGGAUAUAUUUCUUUGUAAAUUUCCAAUCCUAGGCCAGGUGCUUGAUCAGAACUUGAUUUGCGCCAAAAUUCUCCUUUUUGGUCCGGUUUGGUUUGGUUGAGGAUUGAACCGGCUGGUCUAUUUAACUCCGGAUCUGGUUUGGUUCCGAUGUCCACAUCAUACCCUCCCUCUUCAAAAAGUUUUGACCUCAAAACUGUUUCACCUGCACCAAGAGAAAACAAGUUAGGUUUCAUUCGCUUUUGUGAGUUUAGAUAGUUACCUCGGCUUUGAUUCGUUGGACAAUGUUGGGAUGAGUCGGGUGGUUUAUCCUUGUUUAUAAUGUGACAUUUAAAAACAUUUUCUUGAUGCUGGGACAAAUUUGUAUCCUUCUUCGUGAAAUCUCCUAUUCCACUCUUUAUUUCUCCAUGAAGUUCUCCUUGAAUCUUGAUAUGUUGAGGUGAAUCCGGUGGCUCCUCUUUGACCAGUACAGUGUCAAUGACACGUCUAGCAUAUCCUUUUGUUGGCGUGAGCAAAACUGACUCCAUAAUGCCUUGGUUAUGUUGUUCACUUGAGACUACGAUUUCUUUUGAUGGUACAUCUCCUUGGUAAUAGCAUUUCACCAUUGUACCUGCACCUCUAUAGACACUAAAAGGCAAGAACAAGUGCAUUAUACUUGAAAUUGAAAUUUUAAAAACAUAGAAUUGGAGACUACGAAUUAAUAUGAAAUGAUUCCCGUAUUUAUCAAAGUCUUGAAUCACACUUACUUGGAAGAUAUGGCAAUGAUUAUGCACGAAUUUCAUCUUAAUAAAAGCCUCUUUUUGGUUGAUAAAGCUCUGUUCUAGACCGUGGGGUGGUGGUUGUUCCUCUAGGAUAGCUUGGUUACCUUCGGCUUCUCGAAAACUUUGUUGUGACAAUGCUCUCGAGUGGUUCUCUUCCUUACCUAUACCUUUGUCAACUUCUUUUUGACAAAACAAGUGUAUUAUCAUAGAAUUUAAAGGUUUAAAAUCAGAAAGAUUCGGGUGAAGACUUACCUUCGGGAUAAUUUCAUGUUUUGUUUCCUUAGACAACAUGGUGUGUCGAUCUUGCUUUUGAUCCGUGGUAAAGACUUCUAUUUCUGGUUCUUUUCUUUCAACCAUGUAUUCCUCCUUAGUUUCUGGACCUGUUUCAAUUCCCUUGGACAAAGACAAGUGCAUGAUACUAGUAUUUAAAAUUUUUAAAUCUGUUUCAACUAGUUUUUCUUUUACCUUGGGAUUUUCUGUUUUUGGCUCCAUGAGGGUUACUACUCGUCUAGUUGGGCACUCCUUUGCUUUGUGUCCUCUGUUUUGACAUCGAUAACAAGUCACUUCAAAUAAAUUCAAAGUACUAGAAGACUUACCUUGAUUCGUUUUGCCUUGUGGUUCACAUAAAGACGUGAUGAUUGAGUUUUGUUGAAUCUCCUUCACUUGUACAGGUUUCUUAGCCUCUGAUUUCUUUGAUAAAGUGUUUGGGAACACUUUUAUUGGCUCAGGGAGAGGGAAAGCAUUCUUGUUCACCACUUUGGAGCUCGACUUUUGUUGAUUCUGCCUCUUUGAAUUCGUUGGUGUUACACCUUUGUCAUUGUGGUGAGCUUGGGCAGAAGCGUUCUUCACAAAUUCACCAUACAUGAGCUUUCUCAUCUCCUUCCAAGAGUAAGCUAGAUCCUUGAAGUGAAUACGUGUAGUCUCUAUCUCAUCCCACCAAUCAUAAGCUCCUCCGGUUAAAGCAUCUUCCGCAUAGGAUGUUUUCUUUUUCUCCGGGACGUGGUACCUUUCAAACCAGUCCAUUAAGGCUGCUUCCCACCGUAGGUAUGCUUCUGGUCCCUCCUUAUGACCUGAAAAAGUUAAAGGGUCUGAGCUAAUUUUCCCUCUCUUGCUAAGGUAGUUGUCUCUCGUCUUUGGUCGAGGUGAAAUUGAUGGAACUCGGUGUGACAAAAUUGUUUGGAGAGACUUCUCUUCACGAUGUGGGGAAUGGUAGUGUUGAUCCUCAUGGUAAUAUCCCUCACAGUCCUCAUAAUACCCUAAACUUGGUUGGCUCCAUUUGGUCGUUGCUUGAGGCAUGUAAGUGUAAGGCUCGACACGUUGACUAGAUGGAUAACAAUCAGGUGGCUCCGGCUCCAGUUCUUCACCAUCAGGUUCUUCUCCACAAUCAGAACUGGAAACACAUUCCUCAUACCACGUUUGUCUCCCAUAGUCAUUCUCCUCUUCUAUCAUGUCUUCGUACUCAUCCUCGUCUUGGUUCCAAUCACCUUCAUAGGAGUCAAUCUCUUCUUUCUCCAUAUAAUAGGACGCCAUUGCUCUGGUCCUUCUUAUUCGUUUGUCCUAAAACAAAGAAGAAGAAAGUGUAUCAACCUUUAGAUCAACAAAUAUGGCAAGAAAGAGUCAAGACACAAAAAUUAUGGAAAUUUGAUAUUUCUUUUUACUUUUAAAAAUAAAAUCGAAAAAUUCAAACAACAAAAGGAAAAAAAAUGAUUUAUAUUUUCUUUUUUUUUUUGAUUUAAUAAAAUAAAUUACGAAAAUUAAUUUAAAAUAAACAAGAAAGACAAUUUUUAUUGGAUUUUUCUUUUAAACCGAAAUUAAAAAUAAAUAAAAAAAAGAACACAAAUAAUAUUUUUUUUUUUUUGUUUUUAAAAUGAUACUGAAACAAAUUCAAAACACAAAAACAAAAGGAAGAAACAAAUUUUUAUUUUGGUUUUUGACUUAAUAAAAAUUAAAACAACAAAAACUGAAAAAUCGAAAAGAUAAAGGUUGGAUGAACACAACCUGGAUUUGAUAGGAGCUUUGAGCUCUGAUACCAGAUGAUAUAAGAUUGGAAUCCACCAAAUCUUAUUGAUCACAAGAUGUCAAGAGUUGAAAAGCUUUCACGCGGAAAUGGGCGUUGGUAGAGAUGGAGAUGGAGUUUGCGAUUGAUUCCACAAUCACACACGAACAAGAAGACUUGAUUCCACAAGUAAUCUGAUCCGUAAUCAAUAGAAAAGAAGUGAUUCCACACUUAGAUUCUAAAGAAAAGAACAAGAACAAUUCAAAGACUCUCUUUGAAAGAAAACAAACUUUUAUUAAAUCAAUGAUAAUGGGUGCCAUACAAUGAAUUCAAGACUGAGCUUUUAUAGGCUCAUAAACAACAGUCUAAAGAAGCUAAUUGAGGGAAAUAAUCGAAAAAUAUAAAGAAUAUGGCCGUUGGAGCUUUGAUGACGAAAUCGGCCAAAUAAGGAAAUGUCUUGAGCUUUGUAUCUAGAGAGCUUGGGAAGAAAGGUGAGACUUCUUGGAACAUUCUGGGACAUGUGGAGAGUCUUCAAAACGCAGCAUCUUUGGUAGAUAAAGAGCCGUUGGUGGUUUAAAGCUCCUAGUGUGAAUGCGUCCAGAAAAGGAAAGUAGAAUUGUGAAAGGAUCCGCCUGAUCCUAUGGGUUCUGGUGCAUGGGAAGAAUUCUUCUAGAUGUCUAAGAGUCUCUCCUGGUCGCCAAUGAUAGUUUUGGAGUGAACCAAAUAUGGAAUGAUCCAUUUUUGGCAACAUAUGGCCCGCGGGUAAGGCCAAAUGAGUAACUCCUAAAACAACUCGAACCCGGGGUGAUUUAGCUCGCCCAUUCUUCAUAAAAUGUGCAUAAUAAUGGUGAAUGUCAAAUCUAGGUCGAGGAAAUGUGACGUUGGGUCGAUGAUAUUGUAGUUGGCUUGAUCCGGGUGGGUCUUCUUGGCGCUCGAGUUGAUUGGUUCGAUAGUUUUUGAUUCCGUCUCGCCCAAAUGUCUUGAAAUAUGUAACUUGAUGGUGAAUAUUCAAUAUGGGUCGGGAAAAGUCUUGAUCCGGUCGGUGGAUUUGAGUUUUGUGUGCUCCGGGUGAGUCAUUGUGGACCAACUUCAAUUCGGCAUGGUGAUUUAUGAUUCCAGCUGAAUCACUACUCUUCUUAGGAUAUAUUUCUUUGUAAAUUUCCAAUCCUAGGCCAGGUGCUUGAUCAGAACUUGAUUUGCGCCAAAAUUCUCCUUUUUGGUCCGGUUUGGUUUGGUUGAGGAUUGAACCGGCUGGUCUAUUUAACUCCGGAUCUGGUUUGGUUCCGAUGUCCACAUCA
Molecule: long non-coding RNA, 4936 nt
Filed under: Arabidopsis lyrata
Lineage: Eukaryota; Viridiplantae; Streptophyta; Magnoliopsida; Brassicales; Brassicaceae
Description: long non-coding RNA (ALYR_LNC002473)
Source: RNAcentral